CGAUAACAAAACAACAUAGUCUCUUACCUGUGAGAUAGAGGUCAGCUUCCACUCCCUUCAGGACACUGCUCCCAGAACCAGCACACAGAGCAGCUUUCUUCACUGGAGAAUCUGCAGGAUACAAGCAACAGAAAGAACACAACAUUAGAGAGUGAAGUGGAUACCUGACAGGCAGAGUGGUGAGACAGAAGACCUCUGGGAUGUCUUUGAUUUUGGACAGCACUAUCUCUAGAUGUUCUGUCGUGUCUGCACAGAAUUCUACCCGGUGAGUGCCCUCAGUCGGAUGGCUUGGAGCAGUUGAUGGGUGCAGUGGAACAGAAGUACAGG
RNAcentral lists this long non-coding RNA (327 nucleotides) under Gallus gallus (chicken). RNAcentral's name for it is "long non-coding RNA NONGGAT008457". Lineage: Eukaryota; Metazoa; Chordata; Aves; Galliformes; Phasianidae. The record is from RNAcentral.